This 231-nucleotide ribosomal RNA is filed under the name uncultured bacterium. Its description in RNAcentral is "partial 16S ribosomal RNA". It matches the Rfam family "Bacterial small subunit ribosomal RNA", at positions 102 to 334 of the family's 1533-position model. The record is from RNAcentral.
CGACGGGUGAGUAAUACUUAGGAAUCUGCCCAGUAGUGGGGGACAACUCGAGGAAACUCGAGCUAAUACCGCAUACGCCCUAAGGGGGAAAGCGGGGGAUCUUCGGACCUCGCGCUAUUGGAUGAGCCUAAGUCGGAUUAGCUUGUUGGUGAGGUAAAAGCUCACCAAGGCGACGAUCCGUAGCUGGUCUGAGAGGACGAUCAGCCACACUGGGACUGAGACACGGCCCAG